CCUACGGGUGGCAGCAGUGGGGAAUAUUGGACAAUGGGGGGAACCCUGAUCCAGCCAUGCCGCGUGUGUGAAGAAGGCCCUCGGGUUGUAAAGCACUUUCAGUGAGGAAGAACGCCUGGUGGUUAAUACCCAUCAGGAAAGACAUCACUCACAGAAGAAGCACCGGCUAACUCCGUGCCAGCAGCCGCGGUAAUACGGAGGGUGCGAGCGUUAAUCGGAAUUACUGGGCGUAAAGCGCGCGUAGGUGGCUUGAUAAGCCGGUUGUGAAAGCCCCGGGCUCAACCUGGGAACGGCAUCCGGAACUGUCAAGUUAGAGUGCAGGAGAGGAAGGUAGAAUUCCCGGUGUAGCGGUGAAAUGCGUAGAGAUCGGGAGGAAUACCAGUGGCGAAGGCGGCCUUCUGGACUGACACUGACACUGAGGUGCGAAAGCGUGGGUAGCAAACAGGAUUAGAUACCCCAGUAGUC
This 465-nucleotide ribosomal RNA is filed under the name Vreelandella stevensii. Its description in RNAcentral is "partial 16S ribosomal RNA". It matches the Rfam family "Bacterial small subunit ribosomal RNA", at positions 338 to 795 of the family's 1533-position model. The record is from RNAcentral. Lineage: Bacteria; Pseudomonadati; Pseudomonadota; Gammaproteobacteria; Oceanospirillales; Halomonadaceae.